This 400-nucleotide ribosomal RNA is filed under the name phytoplankton environmental sample. RNAcentral's name for it is "partial small subunit ribosomal RNA". It matches the Rfam family "Eukaryotic small subunit ribosomal RNA", at positions 587 to 979 of the family's 1831-position model. The record is from RNAcentral.
AGCUCCAUUAGUUUAUAUUAACGAUGUUGCGGUUAAAAAGCUCGUAGUUGGAUCUCGGUUGUCGCGGUUCGGUUGGCUGAUUGGCUUUAACUGAAUUUGUUAGCGGCUACUGCAUUUUGAGGGUUCUGUUGCGGGUGCUCUUAAUCGAGUGUCCGUGGCGGUCCUCAGGUUUACUUUGAAAAAAUUAGAGUGCUCAAAGCAGGCCUUGUUGCGCUUGAAUAUUGGUGCAUGGAAUAAUGGAAUAGGACGUCGUUUCUAUUUUGUUGGUUUUCGGAAAUCGACGUAAUGAUUAAUAGGGACAGUCGGGGGCAUUAGUAUUCAGACGACAGAGGUGAAAUUCUUGGACCGUCUGAAGACUGCCGAGUGCGAAAGCAUUUGCCAAGAAUGUUUUCAUUAAUCA